GCAUCUUUGGUCCAGCGGUAGGAUAAUCGCCUUCCACGUCAACCAGUUUAUCUCUGGUUGUCCGUUAGCGAUUGGCUCGGGUUCGAUUCCCGGAAGAUGCA
This is a transfer RNA of Paraphaeosphaeria sporulosa, 101 nucleotides long. It matches the Rfam family "tRNA". Rfam says of the family: Transfer RNA (tRNA) molecules are approximately 80 nucleotides in length. Their secondary structure includes four short double-helical elements and three loops (D, anti-codon, and T loops). The record is from Rfam. Lineage: Eukaryota; Fungi; Ascomycota; Dothideomycetes; Pleosporales; Didymosphaeriaceae.